This 468-nucleotide ribosomal RNA is filed under the name uncultured bacterium. Its description in RNAcentral is "partial 16S ribosomal RNA". It matches the Rfam family "Bacterial small subunit ribosomal RNA", at positions 28 to 507 of the family's 1533-position model. The record is from RNAcentral.
GACGAACGCUGGCGGCGUGCUUAACACAUGCAAGUCGAACGGAAAGGCCCUGCUUUUGUGGGGUGCUCGAGUGGCGAACGGGUGAGUAACACGUGAGUAACCUGCCCUUGACUUUGGGAUAACUUCAGGAAAUUGGGGCUAAUACCGGAUAGGAGCUCCUGCUGCAUGGUGGGGGUUGGAAAGUUUCGGCGGUUGGGGAUGGACUCGCGGCUUAUCAGCUUGUUGGUGGGGUAGUGGCUUACCAAGGCUUUGACGGGUAGCCGGCCUGAGAGGGUGACCGGCCACAUUGGGACUGAGAUACGGCCCAGACUCCUACGGGAGGCAGCAGUGGGGAAUAUUGCACAAUGGGCGGAAGCCUGAUGCAGCAACGCCGCGUGCGGGAUGACGGCCUUCGGGUUGUAAACCGCUUUCGCCUGUGACGAAGCGUGAGUGACGGUAAUGGGUAAAGAAGCACCGGCUAACUACGUG